Molecule: ribosomal RNA, 334 nt
Filed under: uncultured eukaryote
Lineage: Eukaryota
Description: partial 18S ribosomal RNA
Rfam family: Eukaryotic small subunit ribosomal RNA
Source: RNAcentral
CCCUUAGAUGUCCGGGGCCGCACGCGCGCUACACUGAAGGAAUCAGCGUGGCUUUCUCCCUGACCCGAAAGGGUUGGGAAACCCGUUGAAUCUCCUUCGUGAUAGGGAUUGGGGCUUGAAAUUGUUCCCCAUGAACGAGGAGUUCCCAGUAAGCGCGAGUCAUAAGCUCGCGUUGAUUACGUCCCUGCCCUUUGUACACACCGCCCGUCGCUACUACCGAUUGAACGGUUUAGUGAGGGCCUCGGAUUGGUCUCGGCCCGCUCUUUACCGGGCGGCGCCGUUGGUCGAGAAGACGCUCGAACUUGAUCGUUUAGAGGAAGUAAAAGUCGUAACA